UACGUAGGGGGCAAGCGUUGUCCGGAUUUAUUGGGCGUAAAGAGCGUGUAGGCGGCCAGACAGGUCCGUUGUGAAAACUCGAGGCUCAACCUCGAGAUGUCGAUGGAAACCGUCUGGCUAGAGUCCGGAAGAGGAGUGUGGAAUUCCUGGUGUAGCGGUGAAAUGCGCAGAUAUCAGGAAGAACACCUAUGGCGAAGGCGGCUCUCUGGGACGGUACUGACGCUGAGACGCGAAAGCGUGGGGAGCGAACAGG
This 253-nucleotide ribosomal RNA is filed under the name uncultured bacterium. RNAcentral's name for it is "partial 16S ribosomal RNA". It matches the Rfam family "Bacterial small subunit ribosomal RNA", at positions 524 to 776 of the family's 1533-position model. The record is from RNAcentral.